UUAAGCGACCAAGCGUACACGGUGGAUGCCCUGGCAGUCAGAGGCGAUGAAGGACGUGCUAAUCUGCGAAAAGCGCCGGUAAGGUGAUAUGAACCGUUAUAACCGGCGAUGUCCGAAUGGGGAAACCCAGUGUGACUCGUCACACUAUCAUUAACUGAAUCCAUAGGUUAAUGAGGCGAACCGGGGGAACUGAAACAUCUAAGUACCCCGAGGAAAAGAAAUCAACCGAGAUUCCCCCAGUAGCGGCGAGCGAACGGGGAGGAGCCCAGAGCCUGAAUCAGCAUGUGUGUUAGUGGAAGCGUCUGGAAAGGCGCGCGAUACAGGGUGAGAGCCCCGUACACAAAAGCGCACAUGCUGUGAGCUCGAUGAGUAGGGCGGGACACGUGGUAUCCUGUCUGAAUAUGGGGGGACCAUCCUCCAAGGCUAAAUACUCCUGACUGACCGAUAGUGAACCAGUACCGUGAGGGAAAGGCGAAAAGAACCCCGGCGAGGGGAGUGAAACAGAACCUGAAACCGUGUACGUACAAGCAGUGGGAGCCUCUCUUUAUGGGGGGUGACUGCGUACCUUUUGUAUAAUGGGUCAGCGACUUAUAUUCUGUAGCAAGGUUAACCGCAUAGGGGAGCCGAAGGGAAACCGAGUCUUAACCGGGCGUUAAGUUGCAGGGUAUAGACCCGAAACCCGGUGAUCUAGCCAUGGGCAGGUUGAAGGUUGGGUAACACUAACUGGAGGACCGAACCGACUAAUGUUGAAAAAAUUAGCGGAUGACCUGUGGCUGGGGGUGAAAGGCCAAUCAAACCGGGAGAUAGCUGGUUCUCCCCGAAAGCUAUUUAGGUAGCGCCUCGUGAACUCAUCUCCGGGGGUAGAGCACUGUUUCGGCUAGGGGGCCAUCCCGGCUUACCAACCCGAUGCAAACUGCGAAUACCGGAGAAUGUUAUCACGGGAGACACACGGCGGGUGCUAACGUCCGUCGUGAAGAGGGAAACAACCCAGACCGCCAGCUAAGGUCCCAAAGUCAUGGUUAAGUGGGAAACGAUGUGGGAAGGCCCAGACAGCCAGGAUGUUGGCUUAGAAGCAGCCAUCAUUUAAAGAAAGCGUAAUAGCUCACUGGUCGAGUCGGCCUGCGCGGAAGAUGUAACGGGGCUAAACCAUGCACCGAAGCUGCGGCAGCGACACUUUAGUGUUGUUGGGUAGGGGAGCGUUCUGUAAGCCGUUGAAGGUGUCCUGUGAGGGGUGCUGGAGGUAUCAGAAGUGCGAAUGCUGACAUAAGUAACGAUAAAGCGGGUGAAAAGCCCGCUCGCCGGAAGACCAAGGGUUCCUGUCCAACGUUAAUCGGGGCAGGGUGAGUCGACCCCUAAGGCGAGGCCGAAAGGCGUAGUCGAUGGGAAACGGGUUAAUAUUCCCGUACUUGGUGUUACUGCGAAGGGGGGACGGAGAAGGCUAUGUUGGCCGGGCGACGGUAGUCCCGGUUUAAGCGUGUAGGCUGGUUUUCCAGGCAAAUCCGGAAAAUCAAGGCUGAGGCGUGAUGACGAGGCACCACGGUGCUGAAGCAACAAAUGCCCUGCUUCCAGGAAAAGCCUCUAAGCAUCAGGUAACAUCAAAUCGUACCCCAAACCGACACAGGUGGUCAGGUAGAGAAUACCAAGGCGCUUGAGAGAACUCGGGUGAAGGAACUAGGCAAAAUGGUGCCGUAACUUCGGGAGAAGGCACGCUGACACGUAGGUGAAGUGAUUUACUCACGGAGCUGAAGUCAGUCGAAGAUACCAGCUGGCUGCAACUGUUUAUUAAAAACACAGCACUGUGCAAACACGAAAGUGGACGUAUACGGUGUGACGCCUGCCCGGUGCCGGAAGGUUAAUUGAUGGGGUCAGCGCAAGCGAAGCUCCUGAUCGAAGCCCCGGUAAACGGCGGCCGUAACUAUAACGGUCCUAAGGUAGCGAAAUUCCUUGUCGGGUAAGUUCCGACCUGCACGAAUGGCGUAAUGAUGGCCAGGCUGUCUCCACCCGAGACUCAGUGAAAUUGAACUCGCUGUGAAGAUGCAGUGUACCCGCGGCAAGACGGAAAGACCCCGUGAACCUUUACUAUAGCUUGACACUGAACAUUGAGCCUUGAUGUGUAGGAUAGGUGGGAGGCUUUGAAGCGUGGACGCCAGUCUGCGUGGAGCCGACCUUGAAAUACCACCCUUUAAUGUUUGAUGUUCUAACGUGGACCCGUAAUCCGGGUUGCGGACAGUGUCUGGUGGGUAGUUUGACUGGGGCGGUCUCCUCCUAAAGAGUAACGGAGGAGCACGAAGGUUGGCUAAUCCUGGUCGGACAUCAGGAGGUUAGUGCAAUGGCAUAAGCCAGCUUGACUGCGAGCGUGACGGCGCGAGCAGGUGCGAAAGCAGGUCAUAGUGAUCCGGUGGUUCUGAAUGGAAGGGCCAUCGCUCAACGGAUAAAAGGUACUCCGGGGAUAACAGGCUGAUACCGCCCAAGAGUUCAUAUCGACGGCGGUGUUUGGCACCUCGAUGUCGGCUCAUCACAUCCUGGGGCUGAAGUAGGUCCCAAGGGUAUGGCUGUUCGCCAUUUAAAGUGGUACGCGAGCUGGGUUUAGAACGUCGUGAGACAGUUCGGUCCCUAUCUGCCGUGGGCGCUGGAGAAUUGAGGGGGGCUGCUCCUAGUACGAGAGGACCGGAGUGGACGCAUCACUGGUGUUCGGGUUGUCAUGCCAAUGGCACUGCCCGGUAGCUAAAUGCGGAAAAGAUAAGUGCUGAAAGCAUCUAAGCACGAAACUUGCCCCGAGAUGAGUUCUCCCUGAGACUUUGAGUCUCCUGAAGGAACGUUAAAGACGAUGACGUUGAUAGGCCGGGUGUGUAAGCGCAGCGAUGCGUUGAGCUAACCGGUACUAAUGAACCGUGAGGCUUAACCUU
RNAcentral lists this ribosomal RNA (2906 nucleotides) under Salmonella enterica subsp. arizonae. RNAcentral describes it as "bacterial LSU rRNA". It matches the Rfam family "Bacterial large subunit ribosomal RNA". Lineage: Bacteria; Pseudomonadati; Pseudomonadota; Gammaproteobacteria; Enterobacterales; Enterobacteriaceae. The record is from RNAcentral.